Molecule: ribosomal RNA, 1178 nt
Filed under: Nectonemertes cf. mirabilis HC-2011
Lineage: Eukaryota; Metazoa; Nemertea; Enopla; Monostilifera; Nectonemertidae
Description: 16S ribosomal RNA
Rfam family: Archaeal large subunit ribosomal RNA (bases 793-1121)
Source: RNAcentral
AUAUUUUAGGAAAUAUUUCUUUCUUUUCUUUUUUCUCUCAAAAAUUAUUUUUUUUAGUAAUGUUUGUAAUUUUUAUUGUGCUUGUACUGGUAUGGAAAAUUUUUUAUAGAAUUAGAUUAGUUUAAAAUUUAUACCUUUUGUAUCAUGGUUAUACUAAGUUUUGAUUUUAUUUGUUUUCUAGAAAAUUGAUGAAUAUUUAUUUGGAUGUUUAGCACUUAUACUAUUUUGUUGCAUAAAAAUUUAAAUACUAAUAAAUGGAAAUGAAAUGUUUCGAAUCUUUUAAUAGCUAGUUUUUUACUACAUAUUUCUAAGAAUUGUUUUUAAUUUUAUUCAAAUUAAAAGUUAUUUUUCAAGGGUAAUCUUUGAAAAGGUUAGAAAACUUUUUUCUUUUUUUCUUAAUGGGCUUAGAAAUUGUUUUUUUUAUUAAAUUUGUUAUAAUUUUCUUUCUUUUCUUUUUUCUUCUUUUAGUAAAAUUUUUUUAUAAUUUAAUAUAAAAAUAAAAAAUGUUUAAAUUAGUAUUUAGUGCGAUAAAGUGUAUGGGUAGUUUAAUAUAAAAUAGUAGUAACUCGGCAGAACUAGUUCUUGACUGUUUUCAAAAACAUAGUUUCUUGAAAUUUAUUUAGAAAUACUUUCUGCUCAGUGAUUUUAAAUAGCCGCGGUAUUUUGACUGUGCGAAGGUAGCAUAAUCAUUUGUCUUGUAAUUUAAGACUGGCAUGAAUGAAAUUACAUAGAACUUGCUUUCUUCUAUUUUCUUGUAGAAAUUGUUUUUUACGUGAAGAAACGUAAAUAUAGUAAAGGGACAAGAAGACCCUUUUGAGUUUUAUUUUAUUUUGAUUUUAAAAGUUAAAUUUAAAAUUUGGUUGGGGCGACUAAGGAAGAAAGAAUCUUUUUUUUUUAUUAUAUUUUUGAUCUUUAUUUUUUGAUUGUUAGAUUAAAUUACCAAAGGGAUAACAGCGUAAUUUUUUUUGUGAGUUCUUAUUUAAAAUAAAGAUUGCGACCUCGAUGUUGACUUUUAAUUUUCCUUUUGGUGUAGCAGUUUUCUAGGAGGGUCUGUUCGACCUUUAAAUUUAAACGUGAGUUGAGUUCAGACCGGCGUGAGCCAGGUUGGUUUCUAUCUUUUAUUUUUAUUUUGAAGCUUUUUAGUACGAAAGGACCAGAAGCUUAUAUUUUAUUUUGUU